RNAcentral lists this ribosomal RNA (253 nucleotides) under uncultured bacterium. Its description in RNAcentral is "partial 16S ribosomal RNA". It matches the Rfam family "Bacterial small subunit ribosomal RNA", at positions 524 to 776 of the family's 1533-position model. The record is from RNAcentral.
UACGUAGGGUGCGAGCGUUAAUCGGAAUUACUGGGCGUAAAGCGUGCGCAGGCGGUUGUACAAGACAGGUGUGAAAUCCCCGGGCUUAACCUGGGAACUGCACUUGUGACUGUACGACUGGAGUACGGCAGAGGGGGAUGGAAUUCCGCGUGUAGCAGUGAAAUGCGUAGAUAUCGGGAGGAACACCAGUGGCGAAGGCGACUACCUGGCCUGUUCUUGACGCUGAGGCGCGAAAGCUAGGGGAGCAAACGGG